GCUUAUACAGAGAACAGGGCUUCCGAGACGGCGACGUUUUGGGGGCUCUUUUCUUUUGCG
RNAcentral lists this antisense RNA (60 nucleotides) under Agrobacterium genomosp. 5 str. CFBP 6626. RNAcentral's name for it is "ctRNA_p42d". The stretch from base 13 to 59 matches the Rfam family "ctRNA". Rfam says of the family: This family represents a group of ctRNAs (or counter-transcribed RNAs) from p42d and related plasmids. ctRNAs are small, highly structured, antisense sequences which are involved in negative regulation. Lineage: Bacteria; Pseudomonadati; Pseudomonadota; Alphaproteobacteria; Hyphomicrobiales; Rhizobiaceae. The record is from RNAcentral.